Cavia porcellus (domestic guinea pig) is the source of this 871-nucleotide non-coding RNA. The record is from the annotation of a RefSeq genome assembly. NCBI's taxonomy places the organism in Eukaryota, Metazoa, Chordata, Mammalia, Rodentia, Caviidae.
UGUCUUCCUAAUCCUCUGGACCCAGUGCCUUUAAAUAGUUGCUGACCUCCGAGGCUCAGCACAGAUGCAGUGAGGAAGGACAGUGGUUAUUGGUUAUUGUGAUGAGUUUCUCUUUCAAUAGACUCCUAUGUAUUAUCAGGCUGGAUGGGUACCAUAACAAUAUUAACGUAUCAGAACUGGUUGAUUUAAAAGGAGGCUCAGGCUGGGUGAGACUGCCAGCCAGAACACAGAGCAGUGUGACAGGACUCAAGCUCACGCCUUUCACUAGGAAACUUCUGUUUCCUGCUUCUGAGCAACCUCAGCAGAGCUCAGCUAUUCUCUCAUCCCCCACCUCACCAGGCUCACAUCACAGCUCAGAGCAGUGAAUCUGAAGAAAACUUUCCUUCUGGGUAGUAAAAGCAAGCAUGUCUCUCUCUGGGAUGCUGAAGCUGCUCACGGCCUCCACAUGGCUGGGAUUCAGUAUUGCCCAGAAGGUAACUCAAGCCCAGCCUCCAGUGUCAGUGGAGGAGAUGGAGGCUGUGAUCCUGCAAUGCACCUAUGACACCAGUGAUACAGGUUACAGUCUCUUCUGGUACAAGCAGCCCAGCAGUGGGGAGAUGGUCUUACUCAUUCGCCAGAACUCUUAUGACACACAGAAUGCAACAGCAGGUCGCUACUCCUUGCAUUUCCAGAAAGCAGGCAAAUCCAUCCACCUUAUCAUCUCGGCUUCACAGCUGGAGGACUCAGCAGUGUAUUUCUGUGCACUGAGAGGAAACACAGUGUAAGGACUGUUGUGGGGAGGAGAACAAAAACCCCAGGUCUGCCUCAGACAGCCACCUGCUGCAGAGGCCAAGGAAGAGAGCCACCACCUCCCACAGGAAAUAGCUAGGAC